This 61-nucleotide microRNA precursor is filed under the name Sarcophilus harrisii (Tasmanian devil). Its description in RNAcentral is "Sha-Mir-12475-P24_pre stem-loop". The record is from RNAcentral. Lineage: Eukaryota; Metazoa; Chordata; Mammalia; Dasyuromorphia; Dasyuridae.
UAGCCAUUCUGGAAUCAUAUUGUUUGUAUAACUAUUUGAAUAAUAUGUCUCAGAAUGUUGU